GUCAGAGUGGAGGACUUCAUCUGUUCUAGCUGUUCUUAAAGUCAGUGCUUCUUUUUAACAACUAUCAUGAUGUUACACUGUUUAUUACUUCUGUUUUCAGCAAUGGUGGAUGACAGUUUUCAGGAUGAAAUAAAAGCAGCUAAAGAAGUGCAUGUUCUGGAGAGAAACAGUGUUUCACUGUCAUGCACUUACACAGUUUCUGUAAACUAUGUGUACUGGUAUCGCCAAUACCCUCAAUCUGAACCUGAAUUCCUCAUCUCUGUUGUGAGCACAGACAAGACAGAAGGACAGUUUACUGCUAAACACGAUAAAAAUAGCAAAACAGUGCGUCUGGAGAUCUCUUCUGUUGAAGUGAAAGACUCUGCACAGUACUACUGUGCCCUGCAGCCCACAGUGACAGGAAACCCAUCAUCUCCGUACAAAAACCUCACACUGCCUGAGACAAGGCAGCAACACAAGUACAAUUUUGAGACUUCAUCAUUGGGAGGGGCUAAACAGUCAGCGAUUGGGAGAAGGCUAUGCAGAGGUUUCAGAGAGGAGGACUUAUUUUGUUCAAGCUGUGCUUAAAGUGAGUGUUUAUUUCUAACAGCUGUCAUGAUGUUUCACUGUUUAUUGCUUCUA
This is a non-coding RNA of Anguilla anguilla (European eel), 621 nucleotides long. NCBI's taxonomy places the organism in Eukaryota, Metazoa, Chordata, Actinopteri, Anguilliformes, Anguillidae. The record is from the annotation of a RefSeq genome assembly.